Molecule: RNA transcript, 799 nt
Organism: Leptopilina heterotoma
Lineage: Eukaryota; Metazoa; Arthropoda; Insecta; Hymenoptera; Figitidae
Exons: 5
Source: RefSeq, a predicted model, not a curated record
AUCGCAAAGUACAAUGGCAGAUCUGAGGUAUAGUGAGGGUAUGUCCUCAAUAUAUUGCGCUAUAUGCCAGGACAAUGUGGCAAUGGAGGAGGUUGCGCAGCAUGAAUGCUUUUUGGGAGCUGAAGAUUCAAUCGAGUUAACAAUUGAAGGCAACGCAGUCAAUUUAAAUGAUAAUAUGUUACAAGAAUCGAAUCAAAUGAUGGCGUUGACGAUGGACCAUUCUGGAAACGCUGCAGAUUUUAUAUCAUCCUCAUCAUCAUCAUCAUCCUCAUCAUCAUCCUCAUCAUCAUCAGAUGAUAAUGAUGGGAAAAUUCUGCUUGCUCUUUUGAUGAUCCGCAGAAAAAAAAGAGAAAGAGAAGGUUUUAUGUAAAUCCUUUGUGGUCAAGUAGAGAGGAGAGAGAAGAAUUUUAUUAUUACAAAAAUAAUUGAAAAAAGGAUGACUGUAACACAGUAUGAAGAACUUCUCGAGUUAGUUGGUCCUGCUUUAUUGAGCAAAAAAACUCGAAAAGACAUUAUAAGUCCAUCCACAAAAUUGAUUAUGACAUUAAGAUUUCUGGCCACGGGUGAGUCGUUAUCAUCUCUGCACAUGCAGUUUCAAAUGGGACUUUCUACGGCAUCAAAAUGGUGCUACAAAACUUUGAAAGUUUUGUACGAGAAAUUACAGCCAAUCGUAUUGCGGAUGCCUGAAACUCCUGCAGAUUGGAAAAAAAUUUCCGAAGAUUUUGAAAGACGGUGGCAAUUCCCUCAUGUUUGGGGGGCGAUGCACAGUGGGGCAAAAAACACGCUAUUGGACAAAUUG